GCAUUGCAAGCUAGAGGCUUGCAUCUUAGAAAUUGAGAUUACAACACUUCCAGAUCCCUCCCUCCAAAUGAAUCAUUAACACAAACAACUCCCAGUGAUAAAUGAGAAAAGCAGUGGGCAACAGAGCUCCUUUUAUUUAGCAAAUUCCUGCUUGAAAGGGUCUGCAAAAAUGACUAACACUACAAACUUAUCAGGGUAUAUCUUGGCUUACGAAUACUAUGAUGACUACAUCGACUUUCCAGCAGUGGAUGAAAGGACCCUAAUUGUACAUAAGUAUUCUAUUGCUAUAGCUUUAUGGAGUGGCCUAGCUGUUUUUGUCAUAUUACUUUUCUUGAUGCUUCUAUACGUGUCACGAUCAGAAUCACCAUUGGAACAGCUUUGUCAGGAUUUCUUGUGUUAAGAGGUUGAGAGGGAUGGCCUGAAUCUUAAACUAUAGAUGUUCCAGAUCUCUCCUGAAAAUUGACUCUUUGAGGAAUGCUAACUGUCAAUGGAUAUGUCAGAGGUGCCAUAUGGAUAUUAUGUCCUGUCUCAGAAAACAUGACAGCCACACCUCCAGUGCCGUACAUCUGCCAUUACCUAUGAAUAGGAGAGAUGACUGUGUGGAUGCCAACCAAGAUCAUCAAGGGCAGAACUCCACUUCAGAUUGGUCAGCUGCAAACAGAUGUCUUCCCUGUGAAGAUGAAACAAAGUGUGUCUAGUAGUGCGACUACUUAGGGUUAGGCUUGGAACUUGAUUACUGCAUGAAUUAGUAACACUACAACUGCACUGUGACUACCUCAUAAUAUGUAUGCAUUCUAAUUCUAGAUAUAUUGGAACAUGCGCAAGUGUAUGUUUCCAAAUAACAGCUUAGAAAUGGCACAGCACUCUGUAUCAGAAACAUCUAUACUUUAUUCACCAUCUUCUACUUGGAAGUAAAGUUUCUUAGACUGUUAUGGAGUGUACGCAAUUAAACUAAACUAUUACUGGUAUAUUAGUGGAACAUUGAUUUCAGAUGUAAUGUGGAUAUUUGUUCUGCUAGUCAUUUUUAUUUUGAAGAUGCUGACUGAUCAGUAUUUAGUUUUCUUUCCAGGAAAAGUAAUUGAGUUAGUUUUUAUUGUUUUGUUUAGACUUUCUUUAAGAACACUAAAGGUGAAGUAAUUGAUUCAGUACCCUCUAACAAAGAAACCAAAAUUGUGAAGUAGUGUGGUCAGGAUUAUUUUAUUUAAAGAACUGUAAUCUACAUAUAUAUCAUAUUCAAUAUUAGUAUUCUGCAGGAUUACUAGUUAACCAGGAAGUCUUCAUCAGUCAUUUUAUUUUCAUACUGCAAACUAAUUAAUAUUUCAUAUUGCAUGCUCAUUGUUUAUCACUGCAUUUCAUUUAAUGAUUCCCUUGAUUUAGAAAUCAAGAGAAAAAGGAAAUGAAAAAUGCAACAACAUUUUCUUGUUUUUUUUACCAAUUACUUGUAUUGCUUAAUCUUACAUGUGUACCACAGCAGGCAGAGCUGUACCAGGGGUGUUUCAAAGGGGCUGGUUGCCCAGGGACAAGCUGUUAGGGGGCAGCACGAUCGGCAGUUGCCGAUAUGGUGUGACUGCAGCAAUGGCAUUCAUUUAGGAAGGUACAAAUGAUACUGUGGCUUCUUUAAUGAAUGCCAUUACUGCCUUAAAGGAAUCGUGCUGCAGUUGUAUUAGGGAGCUAUACUUGCUACAGUUUCGGUCUUUUCAAUUCCUUUGGGUUGGGGGAGAUAAAUGACAAUAUGGUUUUUGGAUGUGUAAUGAGUUGGAAGAUUUAAAAAAAAGAUCUCUAGAGUACUUUGUCAGAACGUUUGAUGUAGCAAAUGGCUGUAAGUAAGGAAAUGAUUCUUUUGAGCUGGGUUACAGGAUCUGAAUUGC
Protopterus annectens (West African lungfish) is the source of this 1868-nucleotide RNA transcript. It is a transcript of the gene named melanocortin 2 receptor accessory protein, with no coding region annotated. Lineage: Eukaryota; Metazoa; Chordata; Ceratodontiformes; Protopteridae. The record is from RefSeq and is a predicted model, not a curated record. The transcript has 5 exons.